Elgaria multicarinata webbii is the source of this 641-nucleotide long non-coding RNA. RefSeq lists it as uncharacterized. NCBI's taxonomy places the organism in Eukaryota, Metazoa, Chordata, Lepidosauria, Squamata, Anguidae. The record is from RefSeq and is a predicted model, not a curated record. The transcript is spliced from 2 exons.
CCCGCCCCCCAAGCCUCCGCCGGAGCGUCGCUGAGUCACAUUUCUUGGGGGGAAACAACCGAGAGUCUGGGGGCACCGUCGAGACCUGCGUGUUUCUUCUGGCAUAAACUUUCGUGGACUCCAGCCCGCUCCAUCUCACGCACCAAGUCGGUGUCCACGAAAGCUUAUGCCAGAAUAUGAGUGCAAUCCUAUGCAUAUCUUGGGGGGGGGGGGGGGGGAAUGCCCUGCAACUUCCAGCAUGUCACUUGUGAGUCUUUUUUUGUGUUAAUCUUUACAGGACUCUUCCUUGGUUUUGCUGCAACAACUAACGCAGCUACUCCACUCCUCUGAAAAUUAAGCAACAGGCUUCGUUUCUGGUUCCUUGCCUUGCUCCGCGUUCCACUACAUUUUGAGUUCCAAGACAGCAAGAGAGAUAUGGUUGUGGAGAACAGGCAGAAAGAUGAGCACAAAAGGGAUGUGUGGAAACUAAAAGAUAACGUGGACAAUACUGGCCAGAGAGAUAAGAGAUUGUCCACUGCACCCUGCCCAUGUACAGAAGAAGAAGAAGAAGACACCCUCAUUCCAACUACAAUAGCAAACUGGUGUUCUGCAAAAAAACCCAUCAGACUAUCACAGUGUUGUGCAUAAACUGCUAAUAUAAA